AGUGAACGCUGGCGGUAGGCCUAACACAUGCAAGUCGAACGGCAGCACAGUAAGAGCUUGCUCUUACGGGUGGCGAGUGGCGGACGGGUGAGGAAUACAUCGGAAUCUACUUUUUCGAGGGGGAUAACGUAGGGAAACUUACGCUAAUACCGCAUACGACCUACGGGUGAAAGCAGGGGAUCUUCGGACCUUGCGCGAGUGUAUGAGCCGAUGUCGGAUUAGCUAGUUGGCGGGGUAAAGGCCCACCAAGGCGACGAUCCGUAGCUGGUCUGAGAGGAUGAUCAGCCACACUGGAACUGAGACACGGUCCAGACUCCUACGGGAGGCAGCAGUGGGGAAUAUUGGACAAUGGGCGCAAGCCUGAUCCAGCCAUACCGCGUGGGUGAAGAAGGCCUUCGGGUUGUAAAGCCCUUUUGUUGGGAAAGAAAAGCAGCAGGUUAAUACCCCGCUGUUCUGACGUUACCCAAAGAAUAAGCACCGGCUAACUUCGUG
RNAcentral lists this ribosomal RNA (492 nucleotides) under uncultured bacterium. RNAcentral describes it as "partial 16S ribosomal RNA". It matches the Rfam family "Bacterial small subunit ribosomal RNA", at positions 29 to 507 of the family's 1533-position model. The record is from RNAcentral.